Molecule: small RNA, 17 nt
Filed under: Arabidopsis thaliana (thale cress)
Lineage: Eukaryota; Viridiplantae; Streptophyta; Magnoliopsida; Brassicales; Brassicaceae
Description: ATSL293500
Source: RNAcentral
CAAAAAAAAAUCAAAAA